This 253-nucleotide ribosomal RNA is filed under the name uncultured bacterium. RNAcentral's name for it is "partial 16S ribosomal RNA". It matches the Rfam family "Bacterial small subunit ribosomal RNA", at positions 524 to 776 of the family's 1533-position model. The record is from RNAcentral.
UACGUAGGUGGCAAGCGUUAUCCGGAAUUAUUGGGCGUAAAGCGCGCGCAGGUGGUUUCUUAAGUCUGAUGUGAAAGCCCACGGCUCAACCGUGGAGGGUCAUUGGAAACUGGGAGACUUGAGUGCAGAAGAGGAAAGUGGAAUUCCAUGUGUAGCGGUGAAAUGCGUAGAGAUAUGGAGGAACACCAGGGGCGAAGGCGACUUUCUGGUCUGUAACUGACGCUGAGGCGCGAAAGCGUGGGGAGCAAACAGG